This 689-nucleotide ribosomal RNA is filed under the name uncultured bacterium. RNAcentral's name for it is "bacterial SSU rRNA". It matches the Rfam family "Bacterial small subunit ribosomal RNA", at positions 104 to 809 of the family's 1533-position model. The record is from RNAcentral.
GGGUGAGUAACACGUGAGUAACCUGCCUUUCAGAGGGGGACAACAUUUGGAAACGAAUGCUAAUACCGCAUAAGGCCACGGUACCGCAUGGUAGAGAGGUCAAAGGAGAAAUCCGCUGAAAGAUGGGCUCGCGUCCGAUUAGGUAGUUGGUGAGGUAACGGCCCACCAAGCCGACGAUCGGUAGCCGGACUGAGAGGUUGAACGGCCACAUUGGGACUGAGACACGGCCCAGACUCCUACGGGAGGCAGCAGUGGGGGAUAUUGCACAAUGGGGGAAACCCUGAUGCAGCGACGCCGCGUGGAGGAAGAAGGUCUUCGGAUUGUAAACUCCUGUCCGAGGGGACGAUAAUGACGGUACCCUUGGAGGAAGCACCGGCUAACUACGUGCCAGCAGCCGCGGUAAAACGUAGGGUGCAAGCGUUGUCCGGAAUUACUGGGUGUAAAGGGAGCGCAGGCGGACUGUCAAGUUGGGAGUGAAAACUACGGGCUCAACCCGUAACUUGCUUUCAAAACUGGCGGUCUUGAGUGGUGUAGAGGUAGGCGGAAUUCCCGGUGUAGCGGUGGAAUGCGUAGAUAUCGGGAGGAACACCAGUGGCGAAGGCGGCCUACUGGGCACUAACUGACGCUGAGGCUCGAAAGCAUGGGUAGCAAACAGGAUUAGAUACCCUGGUAGUCCAUGCCGUAAACGA